This 520-nucleotide unclassified non-coding RNA is filed under the name uncultured Glomus. RNAcentral describes it as "SSU rRNA". It matches the Rfam family "Eukaryotic small subunit ribosomal RNA", at positions 569 to 1089 of the family's 1831-position model. Lineage: Eukaryota; Fungi; Glomeromycota; Glomeromycetes; Glomerales; Glomeraceae. RNAcentral also lists the same sequence under 1 other name. The record is from RNAcentral.
AGCAGCCGCGGUAAUUCCAGCUCCAAUAGCGUAUAUUAAAGUUGUUGCAGUUAAAAAGCUCGUAGUUGAAUUUCGGGAUCAAAUUGUUGGUCGUGCCUCGGUACGCACUGGUAUUAUUGGUUCCUACCUUCUGAAGAACCGCGAUGUCAUUAAUUUGGUGUCGUGGGGAAUCAGGACUGUUACUUUGAAAAAAAUUAGAGUGUUUAAAGCAGGCUUACGCUUGAAUACAUUAGCAUGGAAUAAUGAAAUAGGACGUUUGAUUCUAUUUUGUUGGUUUCUAGGAUUGACGUAAUGAUUAAUAGGGAUAGUUGGGGGCAUUAGUAUUCAAUUGUCAGAGGUGAAAUUCUUGGAUUUAUUGAAGACUAACUACUGCGAAAGCAUUUGCCAAGGAUGUUUUCAUUAAUCAAGAACGAAAGUUGAGGGGAUCGAAGACGAUCAGAUACCGUCGUAGUCUUAACCAUAAACUAUGCCGACUAGGGAUCGGAUGAUGUUAAUCUUUUAAUGACUCAUUCGGCGCCUU